Molecule: ribosomal RNA, 424 nt
Filed under: uncultured bacterium
Lineage: Bacteria
Description: bacterial SSU rRNA
Rfam family: Bacterial small subunit ribosomal RNA
Source: RNAcentral
AGAGUUUGAUCCUGGCUCAGAUUGAACGCUGGCGGCGUGCUUAACACAUGCAAGUCGUGCGAGAAAGGGGACUUCGGUCCCUGAGUAGAGCGGCGCACGGGUGAGUAACGCGUGGAUUAUCUACCCAGAUAUUCGGGAUAACGGCGGGAAACUGCCGCUAAUACCGGAUACGCUCCAAUUUCGGUUGGGGGAAAGGCGGCCUCUGCUUGCAAGCUGUCGUAUCUGGAUGAGUCCGCGUCCCAUUAGCUUGUUGGUGGGGUAAUGGCCUGCCAAGGCGACGAUGGGUAGCUGGUCUGAGAGGAUGAUCAGCCACACUGGAACUGAAACACGGUCCAGACUCCUACGGGAGGCAGCAGUGGGGAAUAUUGCGCAAUGGGGGAAACCCUGACGCAGCGACGCCGUGUGAGGGAAGAAGGCUUUCGGG